GACGAACGCUGGCGGCGUGCCUAAUACAUGCAAGUCGAACGCAGUGGGGACGGGUGAGUAACACGUGGGUAACCUCCCAUCAGAGGGGAUAACACUUGGCAACAGGUGCUAAACCGAUACUGAUGGAUGGACCCGCGGGGCAUUAGCUAGUUGGUGGGGUAACGGCUCACCAAGGCCACGAUGCAUAGCUGGUCUGAGAGGGGGAUCGGCCACACUGGGACUGAGACACGGCCCAGACUCCUACGGGAGGCAGCAGGAGGGAAUCUUCGGCAAUGGGCGAAAGUCUGACCCAGCCACGCCGCGUGAGUGAAGAAGGUUUUCGGAUCGUAAAGCUCUGUUGGUAGAGAAGCGGUAUCUAACCAGAAAGCCACGGCUAACUACGUGCCAGCAGCCGCGGUAAUUC
This 403-nucleotide ribosomal RNA is filed under the name uncultured bacterium. RNAcentral describes it as "partial 16S ribosomal RNA". It matches the Rfam family "Bacterial small subunit ribosomal RNA", at positions 28 to 526 of the family's 1533-position model. The record is from RNAcentral.